AAGAUAAAGAAAGAAAAAUAAUGGGUUAAUCACAUGAAAGUACAAUCACAGCUUCUUCACCACCCUAAUGACUGUGUCUAGAAACUUCUAUAACCAGCUCUGGAGAGCCAAGGCAACAGUUGUGGAGCUAUUUAUUCAUUUUAACUGAUUCAUUUUGCGUUUUUAUACUCGAGUAUAAAUGUUUGCCAAUUGUACUUUUUAUUUAAUACACUUUCAAAAGGAAUUUUAAAGAUAAAUUACGAUGUAUAUUAAAAUGACUCUUCAGCUCUACGAGUCGACUCCCAGCGUUCCCAUUAAAGAACCGACUUAAAGAUCCGAUUCAAAGAGUUGAUUUAAGGAACCGAUUCAUUUGGAAACGACACAGACAGGUUUCCUUGUUGGGGAAACAUUAAUGAAGAUGGCUGUGGUUAAAAAAAAGAAGCCUCCAUUUUCUCUUGUUCUCUAGGAUCUCGUAGAUGAAGGGCUUGGUGAAAGGUGGAAGGUCCGGAUCUACGGCGGUGAUGUUGGUCAUAGAUUGCGGUAAACAAAUAGUCACCUCGUUGUCCUUCAAGACUGGAGCGUUAUCAUUCUCAUCUAACAGCUGGAUGAUCAGCGUUCCUGUACCUGUCUGCGGAGGUGUACCUGUAGGUCAGCGCCUUGUCUUGUUUUCCCUUAAACCUGUUCUUGACAAGUCAAUGGUGUCAGGAGGCUGGAUUUGACACAAUGACCAAAUUAACUUCAGUGACUUCUUAAUGAAUUUAUUCAGCCUGUUUUUUUCCUACCACAGUAUAGAACAGAACAUAUAUAUAAAAACCUCCAACCCACAAACU
Pangasianodon hypophthalmus (striped catfish) is the source of this 809-nucleotide long non-coding RNA. RefSeq lists it as uncharacterized. The transcript is spliced from 4 exons. Lineage: Eukaryota; Metazoa; Chordata; Actinopteri; Siluriformes; Pangasiidae. The record is from RefSeq and is a predicted model, not a curated record.